Paramacrobiotus metropolitanus is the source of this 1803-nucleotide long non-coding RNA. RefSeq lists it as uncharacterized. Lineage: Eukaryota; Metazoa; Tardigrada; Eutardigrada; Parachela; Macrobiotidae. The record is from RefSeq and is a predicted model, not a curated record. The transcript is spliced from 6 exons.
UCGGCCCAAUAUUAUGUAUAAAUUUUCACAUAGAAAUUUUUCAAACUGAUAUUCAUAUAGUCAGACUGUUUUCGCUUUAGCAGCUUUUCCGAUAGCCAUGUUCAAUUAUACCAGUAUGAGUUUCUACGGAUUAUUUUAGUUAUUAAUUCCGUGUAGUGGUUGUUCCAGAGUUUCAAUGUUAGCAAGACGAUUUCAAAAAUUACCAUCCAUGCGCUGAAUCUAACGAACUGUUUUACCCUUUCCCCGCCUUCCACCGUUUGUUCGACGUUGCCGUCGAUUUGUCAGAUAAAUCCUUCUUUACCAAACUCAUUCUGCAUGCCCUGGCCGGCAGCACCCCUGUCGUUGCGUACAGUAUUUUAUUAACCUUCCAAAUCGAGGGUAUCUCCGCUCACGAGGGCGCGGAAAAUCAUAGUGUCACGUUUCAUAUGAUUGUUGUGGACGAUACGGAUCCGUAGAGCUACAUUGUUAUCGGAUCCGUGGAGUAGCUGCUGGUGCUGGUGUUCUUUCGGGGCACGACUGACCCAUGUGGGAUUCGUGCUGUCGACCCGGCUGGCGCGGGCGCGAAUGGAUGCUGCGAAGCGUGAAUACGAGACGUGACAAUGACGCACCGUGGGCAUCUUGGGGACAAAAUUGACGUUCAGUUAUGGCCAGUUUGAACACCGGUUCGCCUUUCGCGUUGCGGAUGAGAGGGUAGCGCCGUCGGAUAAGUUUGCUCUCGGAUGCAGGAAUACGGAAUCGUACUGCGGUUUGUGGCGCUUCCGCCGUCCACCGAUUUGGCCAUUUGGCUGUUGACCCGGCUGGCGCGGGCGCGAAUGGAUCCUGUGAAGCGUGGUUAUGAGAUUGACUACGAGCGGAUGGGGCUGUCGGAUGAGUACGCCUUCGCGGUUUACUCUGCCCAGAGAUCGCAUGCAGGAAGGCAGAAACGUACUGCGGUUCGUGGUGGUUCCGCCAACCGAUGAUUUGGCCCCUGUCACGGACUGCGUCAAUGUCGAGCAUCCAGCAUGCGGGCGUCUAGCUCGACUUCCGAUCACAACGAAGAGGAGUUUGGAGCGACAGCCGCAGUGUCGAAAGACUUCUACGCUGACAAGAUCAUGCACGAACUGGAUUCCAUGAAAUGCGCCACCCGGCAAAUGAUGUUGAUGCGAAAACAGUUUUGCAAGGUUGUUGCACGGCAUGGGAACCCGGCUCGUAGUUGUUCGAACAAAGUGCCGCACGUGUUUGUGAUAAUUAUUGCCGCACAUGUAGCGCAGAAAAAAAAGAUUUUCUGGGUGAAGACUUUCGCAUGAUGAGAGUGUGCAUCAUUUAAAUGAGUCAUUUAUCAUCAUCAUCAUCAUCAUGAGAGUGUGCAUCAUCAUUUGUCUUGCCAUUUAAAUUUUGACCAGUUGUUGUGAAGCUCGAGAAUUGCGUCGGGAAUGGAUGACGUCCGAAAUUGGUUAAUUUAUUAGUUUUUAAUCGGAAUCUCAUUCAUAUUUUUGAGUCGAAUGCACAGAAAUAUCAUCGUUUGGCAGUGUGAUUUAGUGGAGGAAGAACAGAUUAUUUCAGUCAUUCGCAAUUUAAAAUUGUUCCUUAAAAUUAUACUUGACUCAUUACAUACCCGAAUGUAAAGAAAUUUAAUAUCUACGUUCUGCUUCCUAUUUUGCAGUCAUAAACUGCCUUGCAUAUGUAUCUACUAUCUCCAUGUAAUAAUAUAUGUAUUAGUUGUUAUUUUUUCAAGUAAUGUAGCGCUGUAUGUAUGGCUAGCGGUUGGGAAUGGUCACCACGUUUUAUUAGUUCGUUUAUUUGUUCCAGUUAUACGAAUAUGUU